Non-coding RNA from Nicotiana attenuata, 90 nucleotides. NCBI's taxonomy places the organism in Eukaryota, Viridiplantae, Streptophyta, Magnoliopsida, Solanales, Solanaceae. The record is from Rfam.
AAGCUGUGAUGAAUAUUUGCGCCCAAUGUGGUGAUGAGGGUCUCCGCAGUUGUCUGAAUUUAUCGGAUGAAGAGUUACGCAUCUGAGCUU